This 497-nucleotide ribosomal RNA is filed under the name uncultured bacterium. RNAcentral describes it as "partial 16S ribosomal RNA". It matches the Rfam family "Bacterial small subunit ribosomal RNA", at positions 28 to 507 of the family's 1533-position model. The record is from RNAcentral.
GAUGAACGCUGGCGGCGUGCCUAAUACAUGCAAGUCGAGCGAACGGACGAGAAGCUUGCUUCUCUGAUGUUAGCGGCGGACGGGUGAGUAACACGUGGAUAACCUACCUAUAAGACUGGGAUAACUUCGGGAAACCGGAGCUAAUACCGGAUAAUAUUUUGAACCGCAUGGUUCAAAAGUGAAAGACGGUCUUGCUGUCACUUAUAGAUGGAUCCGCGCUGCAUUAGCUAGUUGGUAAGGUAACGGCUUACCAAGGCAACGAUGCAUAGCCGACCUGAGAGGGUGAUCGGCCACACUGGAACUGAGACACGGUCCAGACUCCUACGGGAGGCAGCAGUAGGGAAUCUUCCGCAAUGGGCGAAAGCCUGACGGAUCAACGCCGCGUGAGUGAUGAAGGUCUUCGGGUCGUAAAACUCUGUUAUUAGGGAAGAACAUAUGUGUAAGUAACUGUGCACAUCUUGACGGUACCUAAUCAGAAAGCCACGGCUAACUACGUG